GUGCCAGCCGCCGCGGUAAUACGAACUGUGCAAACGUUAUUCGGAUUCACUGGGCUUACAGGGUGCGUAGGCGGCCUGUUAAGUAGGGUGUGAAAGCCCCCGGCUCAACCGGGGAAUGGCGCCCUAAACUGGCGGGCUGGAGUGAGAUAAGGGUGUGUGGAACUUCCGGUGGAGCGGUGAAAUGUGUUGAUAUCGGAAGGAACGCCGGUGGCGAAAGCGACACACUGGGUCUCAACUGACGCUGAGGCACGAAAGCCAGGGGAGCGAACGGGAUUAGAUACCCUUGUAGUCC
This 292-nucleotide ribosomal RNA is filed under the name uncultured bacterium. Its description in RNAcentral is "partial 16S ribosomal RNA". It matches the Rfam family "Bacterial small subunit ribosomal RNA", at positions 505 to 796 of the family's 1533-position model. The record is from RNAcentral.